Molecule: ribosomal RNA, 620 nt
Filed under: uncultured bacterium
Lineage: Bacteria
Description: bacterial SSU rRNA
Rfam family: Bacterial small subunit ribosomal RNA
Source: RNAcentral
CCUACCCUAAAGUGGGGGAUAACAUUUGGAAACAGAUGCUAAUACCGCAUAACAAUCAAAACCGCAUGGUUUUGAUUUGAAAGAUGGUUUCGGCUAUCACUUUUGGAUGGACCCGCGGCGUAUUAGUUAGUUGGUGAGGUAACGGCUCACCAAGACAUUGAUACGUAGCCGACCUGAGAGGGUAAUCGGCCACAUUGGGACUGAGACACGGCCCAAACUCCUACGGGAGGCAGCAGUAGGGAAUCUUCCACAAUGGACGAAAGUCUGAUGGAGCAACGCCGCGUGAGUGAAGAAGGUUUUCGGAUCGUAAAACUCUGUUAUUGGAGAAGAACGUACUUGGUAGUAACUGGCCAGGUAGUGACGGUAUCCAACCAGAAAGCCACGGCUAACUACGUGCCAGCAGCCGCGGUAAUACGUAGGUGGCAAGCGUUAUCCGGAUUUAUUGGGCGUAAAGCGAGUGCAGGCGGUUUCUUAAGUCUGAUGUGAAAGCCUUCGGCUUAACCGAAGAAAUGCAUUGGAAACUGGGGAACUUGAGUGCAGAAGAGGAGAGUGGAACUCCAUGUGUAGCGGUGAAAUGCGUAGAUAUAUGGAAGAACACCAGUGGCGAAGGCGGCUCUCUG